RNAcentral lists this long non-coding RNA (306 nucleotides) under Homo sapiens (human). Its description in RNAcentral is "HSALNT0379590". Lineage: Eukaryota; Metazoa; Chordata; Mammalia; Primates; Hominidae. The record is from RNAcentral.
CCGGCCGCCCCGUCUGAGAAGUGAGGAGACCCUCUGCCUGGCAACCACCCCGUCUGAGAAGUGAGGAGCCUCUCCGCCCGGCAGCCACCCCAUCUGGGAAGUGAGGAGCGUCUCCGCCCGGCAGCCACCCCGUCCGGGAGGGAGGUGGGGGGGGGGGGGGUCAGCCCCCCCGCCCGGCCAGCCGUGCCAUCCGGGAGGGAGAUGGGGGGGUCAGCCCCCCGCCUGGCCAGCCGCCCCGUCCGGGAGGGAGGUAGGGGGGUCAGCCCCCCGCCUGGCCAGCCGCCCCGUCCGGGAGGGAGGUGGGGG